This 429-nucleotide ribosomal RNA is filed under the name Gemmatimonadota bacterium. RNAcentral describes it as "Gemmatimonadetes bacterium partial 16S ribosomal RNA". It matches the Rfam family "Bacterial small subunit ribosomal RNA", at positions 355 to 776 of the family's 1533-position model. The record is from RNAcentral. Lineage: Bacteria; Pseudomonadati; Gemmatimonadota.
UAGGGAAUCUUCGGCAAUGGACGAAAGUCUGACCGAGCAACGCCGCGUGAGUGAAGAAGGUUUUCGGAUCGUAAAACUCUGUUGUUAGAGAAGAACAAGGACGUUAGUAACUGAACGUCCCCUGACGGUAUCUAACCAGAAAGCCACGGCUAACUACGUGCCAGCAGCCGCGGUAAUACGUAGGUGGCAAGCGUUGUCCGGAUUUAUUGGGCGUAAAGCGAGCGCAGGCGGUUUCUUAAGUCUGAUGUGAAAGCCCCCGGCUAAACCGGGGAGGGUAAUUGGAAACUGGGAGACUUGAGUGCAGAAGAGGAGAGUGGAAUUCCAUGUGUAGCGGUGAAAUGCGUAGAUAUAUGGAGGAACACCAGUGGCGAAGGCGGCUCUCUGGUCUGUAACUGACGCUGAGGCUCGAAAGCGUGGGGAGCAAACAGG